RNAcentral lists this small RNA (125 nucleotides) under Marmota monax (woodchuck). The record is from RNAcentral. Lineage: Eukaryota; Metazoa; Chordata; Mammalia; Rodentia; Sciuridae.
ACUGGGUGUGGUGGCAUACACCUGUAAUCCCAGCAGUUAGAGAAGUUGAGGCAGGAGGAUCACAAGUUCAAAACCAGCCUCAGUAACAGGGAGGUGCUAAGCAACUCAGUGAGACCCUGUCUCUA